This 835-nucleotide ribosomal RNA is filed under the name Neoprotoparmelia isidiata. RNAcentral describes it as "SSU rRNA". It matches the Rfam family "Bacterial small subunit ribosomal RNA", at positions 356 to 1270 of the family's 1533-position model. The record is from RNAcentral. Lineage: Eukaryota; Fungi; Ascomycota; Lecanoromycetes; Lecanorales; Parmeliaceae.
GAGGAAUGUAUAGCAAUAGCUAAUUGCACCAACAAACAGUUGAUGCAAUAUCGACUAUGUCGAAUAAAAUUCUAGGUAUAGUUAUGAUAAUGACAUUUUAUGCCUAUGUGUCUUGACCAAAUUACGUGCCAGCARUCGCGGUAAUACGUAGAAGACUAGUGUUAUUCAUCUUUAAUUGGUUUAAAGGGUACCUAGACGGUAAAUCAAGCCUUAACACGAGGGACUAAUAUACUAGAGUUACAUGUGAGGGAGUUCUAAAGUACUGCUGGUGUAGAGAUGAAAUUCUGUCAUACCUUUAGCGAUUAAAAGCACGGCACAGGUAUAGGCGAAGGCAUCUCCUUAUGUGAUAACUGACGUUGAGGGACGAAGGCUUUUGUAGCGAACAGGAUUAGUUACCCCAGUAGUCCAAGCAGAAAAUGAUGAAUGUCAUAGAUUAGAUAAAAAGAUUUAUUCUAUAAAUGAAAGUGUAAGCAUUCCACCUCAAGAGUAAUUUGGCAACAUUGGAACUGAAAUCAUUAGACCGUUUCUGAAACCAGUAGUGAAGUAUGUUGUUUAAUUUGAUGAUCCGCAAAGAACCUUACCACAACUUGAAUAUUUAUAUUUUAAUAUAUUUACAAGCGUUGCACGGCUGUCUUCAGUUAAUGUCGUGAGACUUUGGUUAGUUCCAUUAAAUUAACGUAAACCCUUACUUUAUUUUUAUAUAAAGUGGUUCCCCGCUAUAUUGGAUAUGAUAACAGGGACUAAGACAAGUCAUCAUGGCCUAAAUGUUGUGGGCUAUAGACGUGCCACAUAAACCUUACAAAAAAGGGGUGGUGAAAAUUGUGAAAUUGAGCUA